AUGAUGCAACAAAUCUGGUCCGUUGAUCAAGCACAAGCUCUAGCCUUAAAGGCCGAGAGGUUUGUGAGGAUGAGAAAGACAACUAAGGCUCCAUAUCCUCCAUAUCCUCAUACCGAAGGCUCAUCUAGGAGCCAACCUAAUAGAGUGGAAGAAAAGACCACUCCACCAAAGACAAAACAGCCCAUCCCGAAGCAAACUAGAGGCAAGGGUAAGGCAAAUGAAGGCCCAAAGUGCUAUAAAUGUGGUAAAGAGGGACACAUAUCCAGCGGCUGCCCACUAAGGAAAUUUGUUAACACGACUAUCCAUGAUGGUGAAAGCGAUGAGGAAGAAUACGAAUCUGAAGAUGUAGACGGACAAGAGGUUUGUCAAGAAGAAGGUGAAGAGGUGGUACGUGUGAUCCAGCAUGUCCUAUGUUCCACACCACAACUCGAUGACACACAACGGAAGAAAAUAUUUGAGAGCAAAUGCACGGUGAAUGGCAAGGUAUGCAAACUAGUGAUUGAUAGUUGCAGCUGCGAGAAUCUUAUCUCCCAAAAGUUGGUGGACCAUUUAAAGCUUGAAACCUAUGAUCAUCCAAAUCCCUACACUAUUGGAUGGAUCAAGAAAGGAGUGAAUAUGAGGAUCACCAAACAAUGCAACCUGCCACUUUCUUUGGGUAAGCAUUAUCGCUCAAAUGUGUUGUGUGAUGUGGCUGACAUGGAUGCCAGCCAUGUUCUUCUUGGGAGGCCUUGGCAAUUUGAUGUGGAUACUACACACAAGGGCAAGGAAAAUUCUUACUCUUUCAUUUGGAACAAGAGAAGGAUCAUUAUCUUACCAAACAAACCCGAAGGUAAUACCUCUAAGGAGGAGGGGAAAACUAUGUUAACUAUCUCCCAUACCUCUCAUGAGUUUAUGGAAGACUUGAAGGAGGCAGAUUUGUGUGCUGCACUUGUUGUAAAGGGAGAAGAGCACCUGACUGUUGAAAUUCCAGCAAAGGUACGUGGUUUAUUGGCAGAAUUUCAGAACAUACUUGGGGAGCCACAUGGCUUGCCACCGAUGAGAGGAAUUCAACAUAGAAUUGACUUAAUUCCGGGAGCAAGUCUUCCUAAUCUUCCACACUAUCGAAUGAGCCCAAAGGAGCAUGGUAUAUUGAAGGAGAAAGUGGAGGAAUUGUUGCAAAAGGGGCACAUUCGAGAAAGUAUUAGCCCAUGUGCUGUACCAGCCCUACUCGCGCCAAAGAAAGAUGGAUCUUGGCGCAUGUGUACGGACAGUAGAGCCGUUAACAAGAUCACCGUAAGGUACAGAUUCCCUAUUCCCCGUCUGAAUGAUAUGUUGGAUCAGCUUAGUGGAGCAAGAGUGUUCACAAAGCUAGAUUUAAGAAGUGGAUAUCAUCAAAUCCGUAUAAGACCCGGGGAUGAAUGGAAGACCGCCUUCAAGACAAAGGAAGGGUUGUUUGAAUGGCUAGUCAUGCCAUUUGAACUCUCAAAUGCACCAAGUACCUUUAUGCACUUAAUGAAUCAAGUCCUUAGACCCUUCUUAUCCCACUUUGUUGUGGUCUAUUUCGAUGACAUCUUGAUAUAUAGCAAGGAUGAGGAUGAACACUUUGAUCACGUUCGGAAGGUGCUAGAAGUACCAAGGAAAAAUGAGCUCUACGUCAACUUGAAGAAAUGUGUUUUCCUGCAAACACAAUUUCUUUUCCUAGGAUUCGUCAUAACAUGUGACGGCAUUCGUGUUGAUGAUUCUAAGGUUGAAGCAAUCCGAGAAUGGCCAACUCCUAAGACCAUUUCUGAGGUAAGAAGCUUUCAUGGCCUUGCAACUUUCUAUAGGCGAUUUGUUAAGAAUUUCAGCACUAUCAUGGCACCAAUUACCGAGUGUUUGAAGAAAGGAAAGUUCCAAUGGGCAGAAGCAGCUGAAGCUAGCUUCAAUGAGAUUAAACAAAAGCUAUCACAAGCUCCUGUCUUGGUACUACCUGAUUUCAACAAGACUUUUGAGUUGGAGUGUGAUGCAAGUGGAGUAGGCAUUGGAGCUGUCCUAUCUCAAGAAAGGAAGCCCAUUGCUUUCUUUAGUGAGAAGUUAAGUGAAGCUAGACAGAAAUGGAGUACCCAUCAGCAAGAAUUAUACGCCGUUUUCAGAGCGUUGAAAACUUGGGAAGUCUAUUUGCUGCCUAAAGAGUUCAUUGUUUAUAGCGACCAUCAAUCCUUGAAGCAUUUUAGAAAUCAAAAGCAUGUUGACCGCAUGCUAGCAAGAUGGGCAGCAUAUCUUGAGAGGUUUAACUAUCUCAUCGUGCAUAAAUCUGGAAUAACUAACAGAGUGGCCGAUGCUUUGAGUCGUCGUGGAUGCCUCUUGACUUCUUUUGAAGCUGAACUUCCGGGCAUGGGUCAAAUAAAGGAGUUGUAUGAGGGUGACGAAGACUUUGGCCAUGUUUGGGUAAAGCAUGCAAGGGGCCAACCAUUAGGUGAUGACUAUUUGAUGCAAGAUGGAUAUCUCUUCAAAAAUGAUCGUUUGUGCAUUCCAAGAAGUUCUCUACAUGACAAGCUGGUUAGAGAGCUCCAUUCAAGUGAUCUUAGUGGCCAUAUUGGACGGGACAAGACUAUCGCUAACCUAGAAGCUCACUACUUUUGGCCACAACUAAAGAGAGAUGCUGGAAAGUUCGUUCAACAGUGCCCCGUAUGUCAGACCUGCAAAGGCCAAGUCCAGAACACAGGGUUAUACAUGCCUUUGCCUGUUCCUGUUGCUCCAUGGGAGGACAUAUCUAUGGACUUCGUCUUGGGCUUGCCAAGAACAAGACGAGGAAGUGAUGUUGUAUUUGUGGUCGUGGAUAGAUUCUCUAAGAUGGCUCAUUUCAUCCCAUGCCGCAAGACAACGGAUGCUCAUCAUGUGGCAAACCUAUUCUUUCGAGAAGUGGUCAGACUUCAUGGAGUUCCAAGGUCCAUUGUCUCAGACCGUGAUAGCAAGUUUCUUGCUGCAUUUUGGCUCACUUUGUGGAAGCAAUUCAACACUGAAUUGAAAUUUUCUAGCACUGCUCAUCCACAAACAGAUGGACAAACGGAAGUGGUGAACAAGUUUUUGGGUAAUCUGAUCCGUUGCAUUUGUGGAGAAAGAAAGGGGCAAUGGGAUUUGGCUUUAUCUCUUGCAGAGUUCUCCUACAAUAACUCCAAGCAUAGAUCCACAGGAAGGAGCCCUUUUUCCAUUGUCUACACUGAAGUUCCAACACAUGUGGUGGACCUGGUGAAGCUGCCAUCAAGGGGAAACUCAAAAUUAGCAUUGUCCUUUGCUGAUAAUUACACCGAGUUAUUUGAAGAGAUUCGCGGCGCUUUGGAAGCACAAAAUCAGAAAUAUAAACAACUUGCUGAUUGCAAAAAGAGGCCAAAAUCAUUCCAAGUCGGUGAUAAGGUGAUGGUCUACCUCCGAAAAGAGAGGCUGCCUUUAGGUGUUAAAGGAAAACUUAGGCAGCGAAGGUAUGGGCCCUUCUCUAUCAUGAGGAAGAUAAAUGAUAAUGCUUAUGUGAUAGAUCUUCCAAGUGACAUGGGUAUCUCCAACACUUUCAAUGUUGCGGACUUGACUCUCUACCAUCCAGAAGAAGCGCUCUAUGAAGAUAACUCGAGGGCGAGUUCCAAACAACCAGGGGAGAAUGAUGAGGAACACUAG
RNAcentral lists this ribosomal RNA (3627 nucleotides) under Triticum aestivum (bread wheat). Its description in RNAcentral is "partial small subunit ribosomal RNA". The record is from RNAcentral. Lineage: Eukaryota; Viridiplantae; Streptophyta; Magnoliopsida; Poales; Poaceae.